GAUGAACGCUGGCGGCGUGCUUAACACAUGCAAGUCGAACGAAGCACUCAUGCGUUCUCGGACAAAUGAGUGACUGAGUGGCGGACGGGUGAGUAACGCGUGGGUAACCUGGCUCAUACAGGGGGAUAACAGCUGGAAACGGCUGCUAAUACCGCAUAAGCGCACAGUAUCGCAUGAUACGGUGUGAAAAACUCCGGUGGUAUGAGAUGGACCCGCGUCUGAUUAGCUAGUUGGUGAGGUAAAGGCCCACCAAGGCGACGACCAGUAGCCGACCUGAGAGGGUGACCGGCCACAUUGGGACUGAGACACGGCCCAAACUCCUACGGGAGGCAGCAGUGGGGAAUAUUGCUCAAUGGGCGAAAGCCUGAUGCAGCGACGCCGCGUGAGCGAAGAAGUAUUUCGGUAUGUAAAGCUCUAUCAGCAGGGAAGAAUAAUGACGGUACCUGACUAAGAAGCACCGGCUAAAUACGUGCCAGCAGCCGCAGUAA
This 488-nucleotide ribosomal RNA is filed under the name uncultured bacterium. RNAcentral's name for it is "partial 16S ribosomal RNA". It matches the Rfam family "Bacterial small subunit ribosomal RNA", at positions 28 to 523 of the family's 1533-position model. The record is from RNAcentral.